GACCCGCCAAGAUCCGGGUUAGCAUUGAUCAUAGCAGCCGAUGCUUGUAAGAAGCGAAUAAUGGGAUCGGGUGGUCAGGCUCACUGACUUAGUUGACAC
This is a long non-coding RNA of Haliotis rubra (blacklip abalone), 99 nucleotides long. RefSeq lists it as uncharacterized. The record is from RefSeq and is a predicted model, not a curated record. NCBI's taxonomy places the organism in Eukaryota, Metazoa, Mollusca, Gastropoda, Lepetellida, Haliotidae. The transcript is spliced from 3 exons.